This 400-nucleotide ribosomal RNA is filed under the name phytoplankton environmental sample. RNAcentral's name for it is "partial small subunit ribosomal RNA". It matches the Rfam family "Eukaryotic small subunit ribosomal RNA", at positions 587 to 992 of the family's 1831-position model. The record is from RNAcentral.
AGCUCCAAUAGCGUAUAUUAAAGUUGUUGCAGUUAAAAAGCUCGUAGUUGGAUUUGUGGCUGUCACUGUCCGUUCUUCACUUAGUGUUGAAUUGGUUGGUGUCGCCAUCCUUGGGUGGAUCCUGUGUGGCAUUAGGUUGUCGUGCAGGGGAUGCCCAUCCUUUACUGUGAAAAAAUUAGAGUGUUCAAAGCAGGCUUAUGCCGUUGAAUAUAUUAGCAUGGAAUAAUGAGAUAGGACCUUGGUACUAUUUUGUUGGUUUGCGCACCAAGGUAAUGAUUAAUAGGGACAGUUGGGGGUAUUCGUAUUCCAUUGUCAGAGGUGAAAUUCUUGGAUUUCUGGAAGACGAACUACUGCGAAAGCAUUUACCAAGGAUGUUUUCAUUAAUCAAGAACGAAAGUAG